This is a non-coding RNA of Pteropus vampyrus (large flying fox), 73 nucleotides long. NCBI's taxonomy places the organism in Eukaryota, Metazoa, Chordata, Mammalia, Chiroptera, Pteropodidae. The record is from Rfam.
CUGAGCUUUGAACAACUCUGAGGAUGUUACCAAGAGUCUGGCGCUGAAAAGCUGAAUAUGUGACUAGCCAACA